GCCUAGUUAGCUUAGUUGGUAGUGCGUCUGCCUCGUAAGCUCUAGGCCGCGGGUUCGAUUCCCGCCCGGGGCG
RNAcentral lists this transfer RNA (73 nucleotides) under Diaphorina citri (Asian citrus psyllid). It matches the Rfam family "tRNA". From Rfam's summary of the family: Transfer RNA (tRNA) molecules are approximately 80 nucleotides in length. Their secondary structure includes four short double-helical elements and three loops (D, anti-codon, and T loops). Further hydrogen bonds mediate the characteristic L-shaped molecular structure. tRNAs have two regions of fundamental functional importance: the anti-codon, which is responsible for specific mRNA codon recognition, and the 3' end, to which the tRNAs corresponding amino acid is attached (by aminoacyl-tRNA synthetases). tRNAs cope with the degeneracy of the genetic code in two manners: having more than one tRNA (with a specific anti-codon) for a particular amino acid; and 'wobble' base-pairing, i.e. permitting non-standard base-pairing at the 3rd anti-codon position. The record is from Rfam by way of RNAcentral. Lineage: Eukaryota; Metazoa; Arthropoda; Insecta; Hemiptera; Psyllidae.